RNAcentral lists this long non-coding RNA (688 nucleotides) under Mus pahari (shrew mouse). RNAcentral describes it as "lncRNA (MGP_PahariEiJ_G0006122.1)". Lineage: Eukaryota; Metazoa; Chordata; Mammalia; Rodentia; Muridae. The record is from RNAcentral.
AGACAUGGGAGGGUCCUGCAGGCAGACUUGGGUUGUGUAAGAAACAGGAUGAGCCCAGCAUGGAAAAUAAGCCAGUGUCAGUGUUCCUCCAUGGCCUCUGCUUCUUCUUCUCCCCCCCCCCCCCAAAUGUUCCUGCUUUGAUUUUCUAUCUUAGCUUCCCUCCAAGAUGGACUAUAGCCCGAUAGCCAAUAAACCCUUUCCUCCCGAAGUGGUUCUGGUCUUUGUGUUAAUUGCACUAACAGAAAUCUAAGUCAAACGGGAGCCUUACUCUAAGGAGUACAUGAUUUCCGCCUCCACGGAUGAAGACACAGAAGGGCAAGCAGAAUCUAUGUGGCACAGAGAGAAGGUGAGCGGUUAUCCGAGGAUGAGAUAUCUCCAGGUCUUGGUGUAAAUGAGGACUCUUCCCAUGGCCUGAGCGUCUUUCUUCCAUCCUUCAAAGCCAUGGCUACAGGGCAGCUCCCAGAUGAACUUGUUCCUCAUGGGAGAGAACAAACAGCUGUAAGUCAGGAGGAGUGGAAAAAAUUCGCCCAAGUCUUACCCACAAAUUGGCUCUGCGGAAGCACCCCAGAGCACUCCCAAAGCAUUUGUGCCAGGUUCCCUGGGCUGCUGGGUUUACUUGAGAAAUUUUAAAAUGCCUUUUGUGUGUUUAUUCUUUGACAAUUUUAUACACAAAUGCAAUGCACCCUGG